CACCUCGCCUCGCUCGACCCGCUCAUGUACAAGAAUCUUCUCUACUUGAAGACGUGUGAGGGGGAUGUGGCAGACCUCGGACUGGACUUCACCGUCGUCAAUGAUGAGCUGGGGGAAACCAGGAUUGAGGAUCUGGUACCUGAUGGUCGGGACAUUCUUGUUACGGAGGCCAACCGCAUCAAGUACAUGCACCUGCUCGCAGAUUACAAACUUAAC
Molecule: long non-coding RNA, 216 nt
Organism: Priapulus caudatus
Lineage: Eukaryota; Metazoa; Priapulida; Priapulimorpha; Priapulimorphida; Priapulidae
Exons: 3
Source: RefSeq, a predicted model, not a curated record